UGGUAGGAUAGCGUAAUUAACGCGAUGAAGGAUGACCGUAAGGACAUGUUGGAGCGUUAACUAGUGAGAAUUCCGGUAUGAGUAGCGAAAGAUAGGUGAGAAUCCUAUCCACCGAAUGAGUAAGGUUUCCCCCGGAAGGCUCGUCCGCGGGGGGUUAGUCGGGACCUAAGGCGAGGCUGAAAAGCGUAGUCGAUGGACAACAGGUUGAUAUUCCUGUACCGAUAUUUAAUUGCCGAAGGAAGGACGCAGAAGGAUAACACAGGCCACUAUUGGAUGUGGUUUUAAACAGUUAGUCUUCAUAAGAGUCAAAUGCUUUUAUGUUUAAGGAUAAGCUGUGAAUGUACCAAGUUUACUUGGAAAUUGUGUGAUUUCACGCUGCUGAAAAAAGUUUCGUAGGAAGAAAAUAUUGCCCGUACCGCAAACCGACACAGGUACUCAAGUGGAGAACACUAAGGUGAGCGAGUGAACUAUUGUUAAGGAACUCUGCAAAAUGAGUCCGUAACUUCGGAAGAAGGACUGCUGGUUUUAUACCAGCCGCAGCAAAUAGGCCCAAACAACUGUUUAUCAAAAACACAGGUUUCUGC
This 584-nucleotide ribosomal RNA is filed under the name Oenococcus oeni. RNAcentral describes it as "bacterial LSU rRNA". It matches the Rfam family "Bacterial large subunit ribosomal RNA", at positions 1226 to 1826 of the family's 2925-position model. The record is from RNAcentral. Lineage: Bacteria; Bacillati; Bacillota; Bacilli; Lactobacillales; Lactobacillaceae.